Molecule: transfer RNA, 96 nt
Filed under: Ustilaginoidea virens
Lineage: Eukaryota; Fungi; Ascomycota; Sordariomycetes; Hypocreales; Clavicipitaceae
Rfam family: tRNA
About the family: Transfer RNA (tRNA) molecules are approximately 80 nucleotides in length. Their secondary structure includes four short double-helical elements and three loops (D, anti-codon, and T loops).
Source: Rfam by way of RNAcentral
GGGCGGAUGGUUUAGUGGUAUAAUACUCCCUUAGCAUGAUUACACCUACCAGGUUUUCAUUGGGAGUGGUCCGGGGUUCGAUUCCCCGUUCGUCCA